GUUAUACCCACAGCAAUAUCUGAACUGCACUCAAAUAAGCUGCCCCAGCCCCGGCACUUCAAAGGAGGGUCCUGGGCUGCUACGGUGAGGAGUUUAAGGACAGGAGGGAAAGUCGGCAUCUACCUUUCCUACUUCGGAAUCUGUUUUUAAACAGAGAUUCAAGUGUAGAAGUAACAAGUGCCCUCCUCAACACCGUCUUGCUAAUCGCAUCGCUGCCUUCUGCGUCUUUACGAGACUUCUGGGGGGCUGGUAGCUAAGGGGGUUACUGUAUGCAACUCAUUGCUGUGAUUGAAAUCCUGCCCGCUGUCACUUCAGAUUGUAAAUGAAAAUUUGCACAAAGCAGGGCUUCUAAAGAAAGCAUCUGUGGCAGCAACAGCUGGAUCUCUGCAAGUGGGAACCUGAGGCUCAGCAGGAAAAGUUUGUAAGAGUUCGGUUCUAGCUGUCUGAAAACUGCAACGGCAUCAUUACCGACACUGGACACAAAAUGAAUGUGUCUCCCACCGGUUGAAUGACAAGUAUCCGAUCAAAAACGAAGCUCAGAUUCGGGGUGUUGAGUGGACUGUGCAUGCGGGAAUAUUUUAAAACAGCAGUGUACAGCUUUCUUGACCAAUUAAAACAGUUGAAAAGGUUGUAUAAGAAAA
This is a long non-coding RNA of Marmota monax (woodchuck), 641 nucleotides long. RefSeq lists it as uncharacterized. The transcript is spliced from 3 exons. The record is from RefSeq and is a predicted model, not a curated record. Lineage: Eukaryota; Metazoa; Chordata; Mammalia; Rodentia; Sciuridae.